RNAcentral lists this long non-coding RNA (468 nucleotides) under Homo sapiens (human). Its description in RNAcentral is "non-protein coding lnc-SV2C-2:1". Lineage: Eukaryota; Metazoa; Chordata; Mammalia; Primates; Hominidae. The record is from RNAcentral.
AUGCCCAAGUUUUAUUGUGACUACUGCAAUACAUACCUCACCCAUGACUCUCCUCCUGUGAGAAAGACACACUGCAGUGGUAGGAAACACAAAGAGAAUGUGAAAGACUACUAUCAGAAAUGGAUGAAAGAGCAGGCUCAGAGCCUGAUUGACAAAACAACGGCUGCAUUUCAACAAGGAAAGAUACCUCCUGCUCCAUUCUCUGCUCCUCCUCCUGUAGGAGCAAUGAUACCACCUCCCCCUAGUCUUCCAGGUCCUCCUCACCCUGGUAUGAUGCCAGCACCCCAUAUGAGGGGUCCUGCCAUGAUGCCAAUGAUGGGCCCUCCUCCUCCUGGGAUGAUGCCAGGGGGACCUGCUCCUGGAAUGAGGCCGCUUAUGGGAGGCCACAGGCCAAUGAUGCCUGGGUCCCCAGUGAUAAGACCUCCUGCCUGUCCCAUGAUGGUGCCCACUCGGCCCAGAAAGACUUGA